UUCCAGGGGAAGGUUCGUCCGCCCUGGGUAAGUCGGGACCUAACGCGAGGCCGAAAGGCGUAGUGGAUGGAAAGCAGGCGGAGAUUCCUGCACCCGUAUGUGGAGCGAUGGAGUGACGGAGACGGCUAAUGUGACCCUCUUAACGGAUUGAGGGCGAAGCGGGGUAGCGGUCGACCAGGCAAAUCCGGUCGGCAUAACGCGAAGACGUGAUAGGGAAGCGAACGCUUUGGCAAGUAGCGAAGCACAUGAGGCCGGCUUCCAAGAAAAGCUUCUGGCAAUGCACAUGCGGCCCGUACCAAAACCGACACAGGUGGGCAGGUAGAGGAUACCAAGGUGAGCGAGAGAACUGUUGCCAAGGAACUCGGCAAAAUGGCUCCGUACGUUCGCAAGAAGGAGCGCUUAUGAAAAUAAGCCGCAGUGAAUAGGCCCAAGCGACUGUUUAACUAAAACACAGCUCUCUGCGAAGUCGCAAGACGAAGUAUAGGGGGUGACACCUGCCCGGUGCCGGAAGGUUAAGAGGAUCUGUCAAUCGCAAGAUGAAGCAGUGAGUUGAAGCCCCGGUGAACGGCGGCCGUAACUAUAACGGUCCUAAGGUAGCGAAAUUCCUUGUCAGGUAAGUUCUGACCCGCACGAAAGGUGUAACGAUUUGGGCGCUGUCUCGGCAGCAGGCUCGGUGAAAUCUUAGUACCUGUGAAAAUGCAGGUUACCCGCAACUAGACGGAAAGACCCCAUGGAGCUUUACUGUAGCCUGGUAUUGGAUUUUGGUCAGACAUGUACAGGAUAGGUGGGAGACUGUGAGACGUGCACGCCAGUGUACGAGGAGUCGCCGUUGGGAUACCACUCUUGUGUGAUCGGAGUUCUAACCUGGUGGCCUGAACCGGCCAUAGGGAGAGUGCCAGGUGGGCAGUUUGACUGGGGCGGUCGCCUCCCAAAGAGUAACGGAGGCGCCCAAAGGUACGCUCAGAUUGGAUGGAAACCAAUCGACGAGUGCAAAUGCAGAAGCGUGCUUGACUGUGAGAGCAACAACUCGAACAGGGACGAAAGUCGGGAUUAGUGAUCCGGCGGUGCC
Molecule: ribosomal RNA, 1069 nt
Filed under: human gut metagenome
Description: bacterial LSU rRNA
Rfam family: Bacterial large subunit ribosomal RNA
Source: RNAcentral